RNAcentral lists this unclassified non-coding RNA (289 nucleotides) under uncultured fungus. Its description in RNAcentral is "partial contains 5.8S rRNA, ITS2 and 28S rRNA". It matches the Rfam family "Eukaryotic large subunit ribosomal RNA", at positions 668 to 961 of the family's 3401-position model. The record is from RNAcentral. Lineage: Eukaryota; Fungi.
AAGGAGUCUAACAUAUCUGCGAGUAUUUGGGUGUCAAACCCGAGUGCGCAAUGAAAGUGAACGUAGGAGCGAUCCGCAAGGUGCGGCUUCGACCGAUCUGGAUCUUUAGUGAUGGAUUUGAGUAAGAGCAUAUAUGCUGGGACCCGAAAGAUGGUGAACUCUGCCUGAAUAGGGCGAAGCCAGAGGAAACUCUGGUGGAGGCUCGUAGCGAUUCUGACGUGCAAAUCGAUCGUCAAAUUUGGGUAUAGGGGCGAAAGACUAAUCGAACCAUCUAGUAGCUGGUUCCUGC